This 2902-nucleotide ribosomal RNA is filed under the name Escherichia coli. RNAcentral describes it as "bacterial LSU rRNA". It matches the Rfam family "Bacterial large subunit ribosomal RNA". The record is from RNAcentral. Lineage: Bacteria; Pseudomonadati; Pseudomonadota; Gammaproteobacteria; Enterobacterales; Enterobacteriaceae.
UUAAGCGACUAAGCGUACACGGUGGAUGCCCUGGCAGUCAGAGGCGAUGAAGGACGUGCUAAUCUGCGAUAAGCGUCGGUAAGGUGAUAUGAACCGUUAUAACCGGCGAUUUCCGAAUGGGGAAACCCAGUGUGAUUCGUCACACUAUCAUUAACUGAAUCCAUAGGUUAAUGAGGCGAACCGGGGGAACUGAAACAUCUAAGUACCCCGAGGAAAAGAAAUCAACCGAGAUUCCCCCAGUAGCGGCGAGCGAACGGGGAGCAGCCCAGAGCCUGAAUCAGUGUGUGUGUUAGUGGAAGCGUCUGGAAAGGCGUGCGAUACAGGGUGACAGCCCCGUACACAAAAAUGCACAUACUGUGAGCUCGAUGAGUAGGGCGGGACACGUGGUAUCCUGUCUGAAUAUGGGGGGACCAUCCUCCAAGGCUAAAUACUCCUGACUGACCGAUAGUGAACCAGUACCGUGAGGGAAAGGCGAAAAGAACCCCGGCGAGGGGAGUGAAAAAGAACCUGAAACCGUGUACGUACAAGCAGUGGGAGCCUCUUAAUGGGGUGACUGCGUACCUUUUGUAUAAUGGGUCAGCGACUUAUAUUCUGUAGCAAGGUUAACCGAAUAGGGGAGCCGAAGGGAAACCGAGUCUUAACUGGGCGUUAAGUUGCAGGGUAUAGACCCGAAACCCGGUGAUCUAGCCAUGGGCAGGUUGAAGGUUGGGUAACACUAACUGGAGGACCGAACCGACUAAUGUUGAAAAAUUAGCGGAUGACUUGUGGCUGGGGGUGAAAGGCCAAUCAAACCGGGAGAUAGCUGGUUCUCCCCGAAAGCUAUUUAGGUAGCGCCUCGUGAAUUCAUCUCCGGGGGUAGAGCACUGUUUCGGCAAGGGGGUCAUCCCGACUUACCAACCCGAUGCAAACUGCGAAUACCGGAGAAUGUUAUCACGGGAGACACACGGCGGGUGCUAACGUCCGUCGUGAAGAGGGAAACAACCCAGACCGCCAGCUAAGGUCCCAAAGUCAUGGUUAAGUGGGAAACGAUGUGGGAAGGCCCAGACAGCCAGGAUGUUGGCUUAGAAGCAGCCAUCAUUUAAAGAAAGCGUAAUAGCUCACUGGUCGAGUCGGCCUGCGCGGAAGAUGUAACGGGGCUAAACCAUGCACCGAAGCUGCGGCAGCGACACUAUGUGUUGUUGGGUAGGGGAGCGUUCUGUAAGCCUGUGAAGGUGUACUGUGAGGUAUGCUGGAGGUAUCAGAAGUGCGAAUGCUGACAUAAGUAACGAUAAAGCGGGUGAAAAGCCCGCUCGCCGGAAGACCAAGGGUUCCUGUCCAACGUUAAUCGGGGCAGGGUGAGUCGACCCCUAAGGCGAGGCCGAAAGGCGUAGUCGAUGGGAAACAGGUUAAUAUUCCUGUACUUGGUGUUACUGCGAAGGGGGGACGGAGAAGGCUAUGUUGGCCGGGCGACGGUUGUCCCGGUUUAAGCGUGUAGGCUGGUUUUCCAGGCAAAUCCGGAAAAUCAAGGCUGAGGCGUGAUGACGAGGCACUACGGUGCUGAAGCAACAAAUGCCCUGCUUCCAGGAAAAGCCUCUAAGCAUCAGGUAACAUCAAAUCGUACCCCAAACCGACACAGGUGGUCAGGUAGAGAAUACCAAGGCGCUUGAGAGAACUCGGGUGAAGGAACUAGGCAAAAUGGUGCCGUAACUUCGGGAGAAGGCACGCUGAUAUGUAGGUGAAGUCCCUCGCGGAUGGAGCUGAAAUCAGUCGAAGAUACCAGCUGGCUGCAACUGUUUAUUAAAAACACAGCACUGUGCAAACACGAAAGUGGACGUAUACGGUGUGACGCCUGCCCGGUGCCGGAAGGUUAAUUGAUGGGGUUAGCGGUAACGCGAAGCUCUUGAUCGAAGCCCCGGUAAACGGCGGCCGUAACUAUAACGGUCCUAAGGUAGCGAAAUUCCUUGUCGGGUAAGUUCCGACCUGCACGAAUGGCGUAAUGAUGGCCAGGCUGUCUCCACCCGAGACUCAGUGAAAUUGAACUCGCUGUGAAGAUGCAGUGUACCCGCGGCAAGACGGAAAGACCCCGUGAACCUUUACUAUAGCUUGACACUGAACAUUGAGCCUUGAUGUGUAGGAUAGGUGGGAGGCUUUGAAGUGUGGACGCCAGUCUGCAUGGAGCCGGCCUUGAAAUACCACCCUUUAAUGUUUGAUGUUCUAACGUUGGCCCCUGAUCGGGGUUGCGGACAGUGUCUGGUGGGUAGUUUGACUGGGGCGGUCUCCUCCUAAAGAGUAACGGAGGAGCACGAAGGUUGGCUAAUCCUGGUCGGACAUCAGGAGGUUAGUGCAAUGGCAUAAGCCAGCUUGACUGCGAGCGUGACGGCGCGAGCAGGUGCGAAAGCAGGUCAUAGUGAUCCGGUGGUUCUGAAUGGAAGGGCCAUCGCUCAACGGAUAAAAGGUACUCCGGGGAUAACAGGCUGAUACCGCCCAAGAGUUCAUAUCGACGGCGGUGUUUGGCACCUCGAUGUCGGCUCAUCACAUCCUGGGGCUGAAGUAGGUCCCAAGGGUAUGGCUGUUCGCCAUUUAAAGUGGUACGCGAGCUGGGUUUAGAACGUCGUGAGACAGUUCGGUCCCUAUCUGCCGUGGGCGCUGGAGAACUGAGGGGGGCUGCUCCUAGUACGAGAGGACCGGAGUGGACGCAUCACUGGUGUUCGGGUUGUCAUGCCAAUGGCACUGCCCGGUAGCUAAAUGCGGAAGAGAUAAGUGCUGAAAGCAUCUAAGCACGAAACUUGCCCCGAGAUGAGUUCUCCCUGACUCCUUGAGAGUCCUGAAGGAACGUUGAAGACGACGACGUUGAUAGGCCGGGUGUGUAAGCGCAGCGAUGCGUUGAGCUAACCGGUACUAAUGAACCGUGAGGCUUAACCUU